CCUACGGGUGGCAGCAGUGAGGAAUAUUGGUCAAUGGGCGGGAGCCUGAACCAGCCAAGUAGCGUGAAGGAAGAAGGUACUGAGGAUUGUAAACUUCUUUUGUCGGGGAACAAAGGCGGAGACGCGUCCCCGGAUGAGUGUACCCGAUGAAAAAGCAUCGGCUAACUCCGUGCCAGCAGCCGCGGUAAUACGGAGGAUGCGAGCGUUAUCCGGAUUUAUUGGGUUUAAAGGGUGCGCAGGCGGGAGAUUAAGUCAGCGGUAAAAUGUUGGGGCCCAACCCCGGCCGGCCGUUGAUACGGGGUGUCUAGAGUUGGAUAGAGGUAUGCGGAAUUCGUGGUGUAGCGGUGAAAUGCAUAGAUAUCACGAAGAACUCCGAUUGCGAAGGCAGCAUACCGGCUCCAUACUGACGCUGAGGCACGAAAGCGUGGGGAUCGAACAGGAUUAGAUACCCUUGUAGUC
This 459-nucleotide ribosomal RNA is filed under the name uncultured bacterium. Its description in RNAcentral is "partial 16S ribosomal RNA". It matches the Rfam family "Bacterial small subunit ribosomal RNA", at positions 338 to 795 of the family's 1533-position model. The record is from RNAcentral.